CCUACGGGGGGCAGCAGCUGAGGAAAUUUUACAAUGCGCGCAAGCGUGAUAAAAUAAGCCAGAGUGUUGUUCUUAGAACAACUUUUGUUUGCUGUAAAAAGGCAGACGAAUAAGGACUGGGCAAGACCGGUGCCAGCCGCCGCGGUAAUCCCGGCGGUCCAAGUCGCAUCCACAAUUAUUGGGUCUAAAAUAUUCGUAGCUUGCUCUGUAAGUCUCUUGUGAAAUCUCAUGUCUUAAACAUGAGGCGUGCAAGAGAUACUGCAUUGCUAGAGACCGGAAGACGUAAGGAGUAUGAUUGAGGUAGUGGUAAAAUACGUUAAUCUUGAUCAGACUAACAAUGGCGAAGGCACCUUACGAGUACGGAUCUGACGGUGAGGGAUGAAGGCUAGGGGCGCGAAAGGGAUUAGAUACCCCAGUAGUC
Molecule: ribosomal RNA, 421 nt
Filed under: uncultured bacterium
Lineage: Bacteria
Description: bacterial SSU rRNA
Rfam family: Archaeal small subunit ribosomal RNA
Source: RNAcentral